AUACGGAGGGUCCAAGCGUUAUGCGGAUUCAUUGGGUUUAAAGGGUCCGCAGGCGGGAAAAUAAGUCAGUGGUGAAAGCCUACAGCUCAACUGUAGAACUGCCAUUGAUACUGUUUUUCUUGAGUAUAGAUGAAGUGGGCGGAAUAUAUCAUGUAGCGGUGAAAUGCAUAGAUAUGAUAUAGAACACCGAUUGCGAAGGCAGCUCACUAAACUAUUACUGACGCUCAGGGACGAAAGCGUGGGGAGCGAACAGGAUUAGAAACCCUUGUAGUCC
Molecule: ribosomal RNA, 274 nt
Filed under: uncultured bacterium
Lineage: Bacteria
Description: partial 16S ribosomal RNA
Rfam family: Bacterial small subunit ribosomal RNA
Source: RNAcentral